AUGCUAUUCAAUUUGUUGGCAGAUGUAUUCUCCCGAAUGCCGAUGAAGGCGGUCAAUAACAAUAUAAUAUCUGGGAUUGUUCCCAAUAUUAUCCCACGUGGUCUUAUCUGCUUGCAAUAUGCAGAUGACACGAUAUUGUUUCUCAACCCUAAAACUGAGUAUGUAAAAAACUUAAAGUGGUUGCUUGCCUGUUUCAGAAACCUUUCUGGGUUGAAAAUCAACUAUGAUAAGUGUGAAGUAGUGCCAAUUAAUAUGAAUACUGAUGAGGCUAAAUUGUUAUCCCAAAUUUUCUACUGUAAGAUGGGAGAUUUCCCUCUCAAAUAUUUGGGGGUUCCUCUCCACUACCUUAAACUAAGAAGGGAGGAUAUACAAUACAUUAUAGAUAAAAUCAUCAAAAGGAUUUGCGGUUGGAAGGGGAGGUUACUCAGUUAUGAGGCAAAACUUGUACUACUUAAAGCAUGUAUCACUAGCAUUCCAAUGUACUUGAUGUCUGUGAUAAAAUUUCCUAAAUGA
RNAcentral lists this ribosomal RNA (513 nucleotides) under Triticum aestivum (bread wheat). RNAcentral's name for it is "partial small subunit ribosomal RNA". Lineage: Eukaryota; Viridiplantae; Streptophyta; Magnoliopsida; Poales; Poaceae. The record is from RNAcentral.